CCUACGGGGUGCUGCAGUGGGGAAUAUUGCACAAUGGGGGGAACCCUGAUGCAGCGACGCCGCGUGAGUGAAGAAGUAUUUCGUUAUGUAAAGCUCUAUCAGCAGGGAAGAAGAUGACGGUACCUAACUAAUAAGCCCCGGCUAAGUACGUGCCAGCAUCCGCGGUAAUACUUAGGGGACAAGCGUUAUACGGAUUUACUGGGUGUAAAGGGAGCGUAGACGGCAGGGCAAGUCUGGAGUGAAAGCGCGGGGCACAACCCCGGGACUGCUGUUGAAACUGGCAUGCUAGAGUGCUGGAGAGGUAAGCGGAAUUCGUAGUGUAGCGGUGAAAUGCGUAGAUAUUACGAGGAACACCAGUGGCGAAGGCGGCUUACUGGACAGUAACUGACGUUGAGGCUCGAAAGCGUGGGGAGCAAACAGGAUUAGAUACCCUUGUAGUC
Molecule: ribosomal RNA, 440 nt
Filed under: uncultured bacterium
Lineage: Bacteria
Description: partial 16S ribosomal RNA
Rfam family: Bacterial small subunit ribosomal RNA
Source: RNAcentral